Molecule: ribosomal RNA, 29 nt
Filed under: Eugenia microphylla
Lineage: Eukaryota; Viridiplantae; Streptophyta; Magnoliopsida; Myrtales; Myrtaceae
Description: partial 18S ribosomal RNA
Source: RNAcentral
GAAUCCUGCCUAGCAGAAUGACUAGAGAA